UACGUAGGGCGCAAGCGUUAUCCGGAAUUAUUGGGCGUAAAGAGCUCGUAGGCGGUUUGUCGCGUCUGCCGUGAAAGUCCGGGGCUCAACUCCGGAUCUGCGGUGGGUACGGGCAGACUAGAGUGAUGUAGGGGAGACUGGAAAUCCUGGUGUAGCGGUGAAAUGCGCAGAUAUCAGGAGGAACACCGAUGGCGAAGGCAGGUCUCUGGGCAUUAACUGACGCUGAGGAGCGAAAGCAUGGGGAGCGAACAGG
Molecule: ribosomal RNA, 253 nt
Filed under: uncultured bacterium
Lineage: Bacteria
Description: partial 16S ribosomal RNA
Rfam family: Bacterial small subunit ribosomal RNA
Source: RNAcentral